Molecule: ribosomal RNA, 491 nt
Filed under: uncultured bacterium
Lineage: Bacteria
Description: partial 16S ribosomal RNA
Rfam family: Bacterial small subunit ribosomal RNA
Source: RNAcentral
AGUGAACGCUGGCGGUAGGCCUAACACAUGCAAGUCGAACGGCAGCACAGUAAGAGCUUGCUCUUACGGGUGGCGAGUGGCGGACGGGUGGGGAAUACAUCGGAAUCUACUUUUUCGUGGGGGAUAACGUAGGGAAACUUACGCUAAUACCGCAUACGACCUACGGGUGAAAGCAGGGGAUCUUCGGACCUUGCGCGAUUGAAUGAGCCGAUGUCGGAUUAGCUAGUUGGCGGGGUAAAGGCCACCAAGGCGACGAUCCGUAGCUGGUCUGAGAGGAUGAUCAGCCACACUGGAACUGAGACACGGUCCAGACUCCUACGGGAGGCAGCAGUGGGGAAUAUUGGACAAUGGGCGCAAGCCUGAUCCAGCCAUACCGCGUGGGUGAAGAAGGCCUUCGGGUUGUAAAGCCCUUUUGUUGGGAAAGAAAAGCAGCAGGUUAAUACCCCGCUGUUCUGACGGUACCCAAAGAAUAAGCACCGGCUAACUUCGUG